Molecule: ribosomal RNA, 464 nt
Filed under: Vreelandella stevensii
Lineage: Bacteria; Pseudomonadati; Pseudomonadota; Gammaproteobacteria; Oceanospirillales; Halomonadaceae
Description: partial 16S ribosomal RNA
Rfam family: Bacterial small subunit ribosomal RNA
Source: RNAcentral
CCUACGGGAGGCUGCAGUGGGGAAUAUUGGACAAUGGGCGAAAGCCUGAUCCAGCCAUGCCGCGUGUGUGAAGAAGGCCUUCGGGUUGUAAAGCACUUUCAGUGGGGAAGAAAGCCUUGGGGCUAAUACCCUCGAGGAAGGACAUCACCCACAGAAGAAGCACCGGCUAACUCCGUGCCAGCAGCCGCGGUAAUACGGAGGGUGCGAGCGUUAAUCGGAAUUACUGGGCGUAAAGCGCGCGUAGGCGGUCUGAUAAGCCGGUUGUGAAAGCCCCGGGCUCAACCUGGGAACGGCAUCCGGAACUGUCAGGCUAGAGUGCAGGAGAGGAAGGUAGAAUUCCCGGUGUAGCGGUGAAAUGCGUAGAGAUCGGGAGGAAUACCAGUGGCGAAGGCGGCCUUCUGGACUGACACUGACGCUGAGGUGCGAAAGCGUGGUAGCAAACAGGAUUAGAUACCCUUGUAGUC